RNAcentral lists this ribosomal RNA (514 nucleotides) under uncultured bacterium. RNAcentral's name for it is "bacterial SSU rRNA". It matches the Rfam family "Bacterial small subunit ribosomal RNA", at positions 28 to 488 of the family's 1533-position model. The record is from RNAcentral.
GACGAACGCUGGCGGCGUGGAUUAGGCAUGCAAGUCGAACGGUAUGGACCUUUCGGGGUUCAGAGAGUGGCGAACGGGUGAGUAACACGUAGGUAAUCUACCCUCAAGACGGGGACAACCCAGGGAAACUUGGGCUAAUACCGGAUGUGUGUAGUGGCUAUUUUUCUGAUUAUCAUUAUUUACGUAAGUGAGUAAUAAUAAGAAGGGAAAGUGGUUAUUACAUAAAAGGUGGCGUAAGCUGCCGCUUGGGGAUGAGCCUGCGUCCUAUUAGUUAGUUGGCGGGGUAAAGGCCCACCAAGGCGAUGAUAGAUAGGCGGCCUUAACGGGUGGUCGCCCACACUGGGAUUGAGAUACGGCCCAGACUCCUACGGGAGGCAGCAGUCGAGAAUAGUCUACAAUGGCCGAAAGGCUGAUAGUGCGACGCCGCGUGAACGAAGAAGCCUUCGGGUGUAAAGUUCUUUAUAUGUGAGCAGUGCUUUCUAUGUGAACAGCAUGGGAGAGAGAUAUUAGCAUA